GGUUCACAGGAGGUUAUAAAAGAUUUUUGAAUAGAAUUUUUUAAACAACAAUGACAAAAAUAUUUUCUCUGUAUUUGCAAGAUGUAGAAUAUCAGAUUGAGAAACAAGUUUCUGGUUAUUAUUGGAAUACUCAGUCUCCCCUUCUUGCCUUUUUAGUAAGUACCUGGAAAGAACUGUCCAUUGCUUUCUCCAGGUUGGCACACAGUGAUAGAAUUCAUUAAAAACAGUUGAGUAUCACAUUAUUUCCUGAUUGUUUCCUAUGGGGAUUAUUAACUAAGGAAGAGCGCACUUCAGUGUUCCAUCUGACAACUUCCUAGUCCUUCAGACGUGGGCAAUCUUGCUCCCGAAGAAUCUCUGGACAGAAAUACCCCCAUCGGACAAGCUGAAGGAUUUCUAUGGUCAUCUUUUGCUCCAGUAGUUCCUGAUUUGGUGGUUAAGUGUAAAGGCUAAUGUAUCCUGGAGGAUCUUACUCUAAACUAGCUGUGCUCUUCCAUGCUGAGCCAGCUAAAAAUAUGCUGGAGAAUCUGAUAGCAGAUACACAGAGCUUAUGCCUUCUGGACUUUGAUGAUGUCUCCACGUUUCAGGAAACUUGAAUUGGAUUCUGGCAUUCCAGCCUAAUUUACAGGCAUUGCCUUUCAGUAGCCUUAAAAGAAUGGGGAUUUCCUUAUUUUCCAGGCUUUGGCUCCAAAUCAUAGCUAACCAAAGGAACAGACUUAGCUGCCGCUGAACAUCACCAUUGCCAUCUGCAGAGAUGAGGAGUCGAGAACUUCUCAGCUUCACCUGGACCACAGGGAAACCCCCGCUGCUAGCUCUCAAACAGCGCGCGCCAGGCCUCCUCGCUGCGCCCCAAUGGCCAGAAGGGGGCGCCCGAACUCAACGUAACGGCCCAACCGACACCGCCCACCUGCGGGAGCCGCCUGGCCGCCCUGCGACUCGCGCCCCGGCGAACCGCGACUUCGCAGGCAGCGGGGGAGGCGCCGCCGGCAUCCGGGACCGCGUGGGGCCGCCAGGACAGCGAGCAGACUCUCCCAUGUCGAGCCUGACGGCCGAGGGGGAGCCGUGCCGCACUGGGCCCCGAGCCUUUCGUGUUCCGGGUCGGCCCCUGCGUGGAUCCUCUCCUUGGUCGCGCAGUGUUCCAGCCCGAGCGGUUUACAAAAGGGCGCGCGCGUUUCCUCGGGACGCGGGGCCCGAACCGAGAGCGCGCCGCGCGGGGUCUGUUUGCAGACCCAGGAUUGUGUCUGGGGAGAAGGACACGAGUUCAGGGAAAGGGGUUACGCGUCUACAGUCUGGACACAAAUCAGGGCGAUGGUGGACAUGACCUCUACCGCGGAGAAGGAGAGAACAAAGACCAGAGGUGGUUGAUGGACAAGAAGCAACCGUACGAGCCAGCAGACCGUCGUCCCUGACUGAUUGGCCUAUGAAGGACAAUUUGGAAAAACCGAAGACGGAGGUCAGAGGGUGAGAUUCUAGGCUGGAUGACUCCAUUACUUCGCAACCUAGAGCAGCUCCCAGCAAAAGGCAGAGAACUGUGAGUCAGGGGCGAAUCGUUAGGGGACCCACAGCCAGUCCUUCAGCACGUGAAGCCACCCCCUUUCCUUGGAUAAGUAGUGUUUGCCCUGGGGAGCAUAAGAAGGGUCACUCCUCAAGGUCACCUCCUCCCUGAGUUCUCUAGCCCUGGAUUUUCUACCUAUAUGGUUACACAUCCUGUCUGAAAUUCAAGUUAGGAGAAUCGAAUUUUAAAAAUGAAUGUUCACUGUUAUUAAUUAUGUAAUAAAAAAGCAGACAUUAAUCUUCAUAGGCUUUAAUUGCUGUGUAAGUGCGCACCUGUCUGGAGGAGAUAAGGUGCUUUUUUUGGGCCUGGAUGUGGGAGCCACGGCAGAUGAAGAGACUGGAAAAGAGCCAGGACGAGUUACAGGGACCCCACCCUCUUCUCUCCUCCAGGUGGAAACGGCACAACAGGUGGCCCCAGUGGCUCUUUGGGUUUUCUCCUGGGGACUCCUCCUCUUUGGUGACUCCAUUUUUUUGUGCCUCUUCUUUUUCAGCAGUGACUCCACUUGGCCCUUCAGUGGCAUUGGCGCCGACCCCAUGGAUGUAGAAGACUGUGGAGAGACCUUUAGAAUGUUCGGUCGUGUUGGCUUCAAUGGGCUGAAUAGUGGUCCCGGGUGAGCCCAGGAAACUUGCAUCCUUGUGACAAAUCGCAGAGCCCACCUGUGGCGCAGGCAGGUGUGUGUCCUGAAGAAGAUACCCCACGACUCUACCGAGCACACGAUGAUCACCAGUUAUUCGCAUUGAGUACACGAUCCUGCACAAUGUCCUCAAGAAUGGCUGUAAAGAAGGAUUUACCCGAAAAGGAGUUUGGCAGGCAUUGCUCUUGUGCUCAGAGACACCCUCCCCCUCAACCCCCACCUGCUCCGCCCACAAGAAAACAUGUACACACACUCGCCCAGAUGGCACCAAGUUGAGGUCACCUCAUCAGUGUUCUAGUCAGUCACCAGCAGGUGAGGACUGAGUCAGGUACUGGGAGAGAAGAGCAAGGAAUGGAAGCCGCCUGAGUAGUGGUGACAGAGACCUUGUUCCUUCCGGCCCAAGGGUCCUUCUUUUGUUACUCCCUCUUCAUUUGUUACUCUCCUUCACCCCUCCUCGCUCUCUCCUCACUUUGCUCCGGGUGCUGUGUGUCUGCAGGGUGAGCAUUCCCGUCUUUGAUGACCGGGGACCCAUGUGCCCCGCUGUGAUGUUGAGCCAGGCAAGGUCUCAGGGUGACCAACCAGCAGGGAGAAUUGACUUUUGAGUUCAAAGUUUGUUUCCAAACCGAUGGAUAUCACAGACAGUGCCCACCUCUGAGUAGCACCUCCCAUAGUCUCAGGCCUUAGCACAUCCACCUCAGGACCUCGCUUAGCAGAACCUUCGCCCCGCCCCUGCCCAGUACUCACCGACUUCUGUGUCCCCCGUAUUUCAGCUACUUCUCUAACAUCUGAAAAAGACAAGCUUUAGAGGAAGAUUAUCCAGUCUCUGACCCCCUUCGGAGCUGGGCUGCCUGGAGGGCAGGAGAGGAGGUGACCCGUGUCAUGGCUUGCUUUUCUCAUCCAUAAUUUUGAAUCCAGUUCCCUUCCAGUGGCUUAGAGAGUGACAUGAGUGUUACUGGAAGUCCAUUUCUUUCCUGAACCUGUAAACAGUGUUUUCUCCUUUCCCUCUCAGCUUUGCUGAACCAAUUUCAUCAGCUGCCCCCUCUGCAGCUACCUCCCAUCAGGAGGGGAAAGUGAGAACAUGUCCUGCUUGGUCAACCUCAAUGCACCCAUGGUCCGUGGUUCCCAACAGACCACCGCCACCACCAGUGCUUUACCAGAGCAGAGUCCCAAGUGCUGUGUCCCCUGCUGGCCCAGAGCAAGUCCUGUGAGGAGGGGCGGGGAGGGGCGGGGAGGGGAGGAGAGACUCAGAGUUCAGUGCUAUGCUUUCACUGAGGCGGAGAAGUGAGUAGCAUUGCCCCCGUCUCCAGCUGUCAUCCGGAAGGGAAUGGGAUCUUGGGCGCAGGUGGAAACUAUGCCCCAUCUCAAAUUCAUGGCCCUAGAUUUCUUCUCCUCACCCUUGGAACUACAGGCAUCAUGACGGAAAUUUUUGAGUUCCACAGGUCGGUUGUAGGAGUUAGAGCCCCAGCCCUCCAGGGGGCCAGCUCAACACCUUGGCACGGGGUUGGUGCUAAACUUGGAUGAAGUCCUAAACUGGCCUCAUCUCUGUCCUGAAUAUUUGGGUGCUACCCCCAAAGCUUCCUGGAGGGAGCCCUAGAUGACUGCACUUGUGCUAGUGAUAGAUUUGCCAGUUACCCAGGCAGAUAAUUCAGAGAGAUGAGAAUUGGGGGUGGGAGGUGGGGAGUAAGGCACAGAGGAUGGGUAGGGCAGGGGUUCUGUGGACCCAGGCUCUAGAAGGGGCGACCUGUGGGCACCUGAUCUGAUAGCCCACCAUCUUGGGAGAAGGGAUUGUGACAUUUACUCGGUGCUGUGGGUACACAAUCUCACACAAUCUGACUCUCGUGGGUAUGCUUAACAUGUCCAAAAAAGUGUGUAUCUCUAAAUCUUGUGCAAUUCCUGUGGCCAAAACAAAACUCAACUUUGAACACCUAGGUGGAAUCCCAGAGAAUGUCCACCCAUGUCUUAAAGGUGGUGUACCCAGGGGUAUGGAGAUACAAGUAUUUGAUGUUUCCCCUUCUGCCCCUCAGAGAAAAUGCUAAGCACAUACCUCCAAUGUUUAUUUUAUUUAUAAUACAUUAUGUAUAUUACAGUUAUAAAAUACUGUGCAUUUUAUAAAGUAUGUUGGUAAUAGAGAUUUUUAAAUGGAUAAGUAAAUCUGUGAUAAAAUAUUUUUUAAAUGUUUAUUUUUGACAGCACAAGUGGGAGAGGGGCAGAGAGAGAGGGAGACACAGAAUCGGAAGCAGGCUCCAGGCUCUGAACUGUCCACACAGAGCCUGACGCAGGGCUCGAACUCAUGAACUGUGAGAUCAUGACCUGAGCUGAAGUCGGAUGCUUAACCAACUGAACCUCCCAGGCAUCCCUAUGAUAAAACAUUUUUAAAUUGUAUUUUUAUUAUUAAAGGGACAUCAUGAUUUGACCUCAAAUAAUACACAUACUAUGCUUCUUGGAAGAUGUGACAAUAGGCAUCAAUAUGCAGGGUAAUUAUUACAGGAAUAGAAUGACAUUUUAUAGAAUCCAAGUA
This 4704-nucleotide long non-coding RNA is filed under the name Suricata suricatta (meerkat). RNAcentral's name for it is "lncRNA (ENSSSUG00005005121.1)". The record is from RNAcentral. Lineage: Eukaryota; Metazoa; Chordata; Mammalia; Carnivora; Herpestidae.